UGGGGAAUAUUGCACAAUGGGCGGAAGCCUGAUGCAGCAACGCCGCGUGCGGGAUGACGGCCUUCGGGUUGUAAACCGCUUUCAGUAGGGACGAAGCGCAAGUGACGGUACCUACAGAAGAAGCACCGGCCAACUACGUGCCAGCAGCCGCGGUGAUACGUAGGGUGCGAGCGUUGUCCGGAAUUAUUGGGCGUAAAGAGCUUGUAGGCGGUUGGUUGCGUCGUAAGUGAAAACUCAGGGCUUAACCCUGGGGUUGAUUGCGAUACGUGCUGACUUGAGGAAGGUAGGGGAGAAUGGAAUUCCCGGUGGAGCGGGGGAAUGCGCAGAUAUCGGGAGGAACACCAGUGGCGAAGGCGGUUCUCUGGACCUUUCCUGACGCUGAGAAGCGAAAACGUGGGGAGCAAACA
RNAcentral lists this ribosomal RNA (407 nucleotides) under uncultured prokaryote. RNAcentral describes it as "bacterial SSU rRNA". It matches the Rfam family "Bacterial small subunit ribosomal RNA", at positions 355 to 774 of the family's 1533-position model. The record is from RNAcentral.